This is an RNA transcript of Solea solea (common sole), 2122 nucleotides long. It is a transcript of the gene named negative elongation factor complex member B, with no coding region annotated. Lineage: Eukaryota; Metazoa; Chordata; Actinopteri; Pleuronectiformes; Soleidae. The record is from RefSeq and is a predicted model, not a curated record. The transcript is spliced from 14 exons.
GUUUACAAAGUAGCAACACCGGAAGUUUGUUUUGACAGUGAAAAGUGUAAUGUGUUGCUAUGUGUUGUAGCUAGCUACUGUUUAUUACUAACACAUCCAUACAUUAGAAAUACCUCUUCAUUCUUAAGUGCUCACAUUGAUGAUUAAACCGACACGACAAUGUUCGCGGGGCUACCUGAGCUCGGAAUAUCUAACGGAGAAGAUCUUAAAGAAACUCUCACCAACUGCACUGAGCCUCUGAAAGCCAUUGACCAGUUUCAGAUGGAAAAUGGCAUCCUGCUGCCUACGCUUCAGUCGGCGCUUCCAUUCCUAGACCUCCACGGAACACCCCGUCUUGAGUUCCAUCAGUCUGUCUUUGACGAGCUUCGAGAAAAGCUGAUGGAGCGAGUUGCCCUCAUUGCAGAGGGCAAAGAGGAGGACAGAUAUGGGAAGCUUGAAGAGCUGCUGGAGAAGAGUUUUCCUCUUGUCAAAAUGCCAUCCAUCCAGCCAGUGGUAAUGCAGGUGUUGAAGCAUCUUCCAAAGGUGCCAGAGAAGAAACUGAAAAUGGUCAUGGCUGACAAGGAGCUAUACAAAGUGUGUGCUGUAGAGGUGAAAAGGCAGAUCUGGCAGGACAACCAAGCUCUCUUUGGAGAUGAAGUCUCCCCCCUCCUAAAGCAGUACAUUGUGGAAAAGGAAGCAGCUCUGUUCAGCAGUGACCUCUCUAUCCUUCACAAUUUCUUCAGCCCUUCACCCAAAACACGGCGCCAAGGCGAGGUGGUCCUCAAGCUGACCCAGAUGAUCGGAAAGAAUGUGAAGUUGUAUGACAUGGUGCUGCAGUUUUUGCGAACAUUAUUCCUGCGAACACGCAACGUCCAUUACUGCACACUGAGAGCAGAGCUGCUGAUGUCUCUGCAUGAACUGGACAUCAGUGAGAUCUGUUCUGUGGACCCUUGCCAUAAGUUCACUUGGUGUUUGGAUGCCUGCAUCCGUGAGAAGUUUGUGGAUGGCAAACGAGCUAGAGAGCUGCAAGGUUUCCUGGACGGAGUGAAGAAGGGACAAGAGCAAGUCCUCGGUGACCUGUCCAUGAUCCUAUGUGACCCAUUUGCCUGUAACACCCUGGUUCUGAGUAUCAUGAGGAACCUGCAGGAGCUGCUGAGCCAGGAAGGUUUACCCAGGGAAAGUUCGGACCUGAUGUUGCUGUUGAGGAUGCUGUCACUGGGUCAGGGAGCAUGGGACAUGAUUGACAGCCAGGUCUUUAAGGAGCCUCGUUUGGAUUCCGAGGUGGUCACUCGCUUUCUGCCUGCCAUGAUGUCAGUGUAUGUCGAUGAUCACAUAUUUGCCAUCGACCAGAAGCUUCCCAGUGAGGAGAAGACCGCACUGUCAUACCCUGCUACCCUGCCAGACAACUUCAACAGAUACCUGCAGGAGAACAGAGUAGCCUGUGAGAUGGGUCUGUACUAUGUUCUCCACAUUGCCAAACUGAGGAACAAGAAUGCCUUACAGAGGUUACUGCCUGCCCUGGUGGAUACCUACAAUGACAUGGCCUUCAGUGACAUCUUCCUCCACCUGCUAACCGCACACCUCACCCUGCUCUCUGAUGAGUUUGGUUCAGAGGAGUUCUGUUCAGUCAUCUUCGAUGGCUUCCUCCUCACUUCUUUCUCCAGUAAAGAGAACGUCCACAGACAUACUCUUCGAAUGUUGCUGCACCUGCACCCCAAAGUUCUGCCAUCGUUCAUGGAAAUCUUGAUGAAAACCCUUAAAACUCCCAAACAGUGCAGUGAGCCGCUGAAGGAGCUCUACACCCAGCUGACGGAUAAGCUGGAGGCCCAGAAGAAGAGCCCUCCACCACCAGAAGAAGCACCAUCCCUGGACCUAGGACUCCACCCAGUGACUGUCCCCACCACCGCCGCCGCCGCCGCCACACCAACCACUCCUCUCUGAGAUUGGGAUGCAGCACAGGUCUUUACCAGACAGCUCGAUAUGAAAAGACUGUACGUUUCACAUUAUUCUUUAUUGUUUUUUUUUUAUUUGUCAUUAAUUAGUUUCUUAAGAUGUUACAGUAUUUUCAUAUGUACCUGGUCUAUCAGUAUGUUCCAUUUUAAUUGUCAAUGCCAGAAAAUGUGUAAAUAAAUGAUUAUUAGAA